AGGAACAAGAAUUUCAACCACAGUUGCUGAAUUUUUCAAGGCAAAGGAAGAAGGAUAUUACAUAGGCAUAAUUUGGGCCUUUGAGACCAUGUCCCUUACCCCCCGCCAAAGUGUCAAGACUCACAUCUUUAAUUCAACAAUCUUUGUAUUAAUUACCUCUGGAUAAGGUAAGCUUUGAUUGGGAGUCCUUUAUUGUAAAAUUACAGUACAUUGCCUUAUUUAAGAUAAAUAAAUUAG
Molecule: long non-coding RNA, 237 nt
Filed under: Struthio camelus australis
Lineage: Eukaryota; Metazoa; Chordata; Aves; Struthioniformes; Struthionidae
Description: lncRNA (ENSSCUG00000003424.1)
Source: RNAcentral